RNAcentral lists this ribosomal RNA (253 nucleotides) under uncultured bacterium. RNAcentral describes it as "partial 16S ribosomal RNA". It matches the Rfam family "Bacterial small subunit ribosomal RNA", at positions 524 to 776 of the family's 1533-position model. The record is from RNAcentral.
UACGUAGGGGGCAAGCGUUGUCCGGAAUCAUUGGGCGUAAAGCGCGUGUAGGCGGCUUGAUAAGUCUGCUCUGAAAGCCCGGGGCUCAACCCCGGGAGGCGGGUGGAUACUGUCAAGCUCGAGUCCGGAAGAGGAGUGUGGAAUUCCGGGUGUAGCGGUGGAAUGCGUAGAGAUCCGGAAGAACACCGGUGGCGAAGGCGGCCUGCUGGGCAGUUGCUGACACUGAGGCGCGACAGCGUGGGGAGCAAACAGG